UACGUAGGGUGCGAGCGUUAAUCGGAAUUACUGGGCGUAAAGCGUGCGCAGGCGGUAAGUUAAGUCUGAUGUGAAAGCCCCGGGCUCAACCUGGGAAUGGCAUUGGAAACUGGCUUGCUAGAGUGUGGCAGAGGGGGGUGGAAUUCCGCGUGUAGCAGUGAAAUGCGUAGAGAUGUGGAGGAACACCGAUGGCGAAGGCAGCCCCCUGGGCUAACACUGACGCUCAUGCACGAAAGCGUGGGGAGCAAACAGG
Molecule: ribosomal RNA, 253 nt
Filed under: uncultured bacterium
Lineage: Bacteria
Description: partial 16S ribosomal RNA
Rfam family: Bacterial small subunit ribosomal RNA
Source: RNAcentral